CAAAAGGUNCGUAGUGACCUGCGGAAGGAUCAUU
This 34-nucleotide ribosomal RNA is filed under the name Pseudevernia furfuracea. RNAcentral describes it as "partial 18S ribosomal RNA". The record is from RNAcentral. Lineage: Eukaryota; Fungi; Ascomycota; Lecanoromycetes; Lecanorales; Parmeliaceae.